Long non-coding RNA from Hippocampus comes (tiger tail seahorse), 139 nucleotides. RefSeq lists it as uncharacterized. The transcript is spliced from 3 exons. NCBI's taxonomy places the organism in Eukaryota, Metazoa, Chordata, Actinopteri, Syngnathiformes, Syngnathidae. The record is from RefSeq and is a predicted model, not a curated record.
ACAACUAUCAUGAUGACAGUUGGGGCGAACCACAAUUUUUGCGAUCAUACAACGGCUUGGGAAGUUAUUAGGUUACGGGCCGUGUGUACUUAGACUUGCUUGGCUUACUCUUUGAGACAAGCAAUGCUACUGACAGGAU